Molecule: ribosomal RNA, 253 nt
Filed under: uncultured bacterium
Lineage: Bacteria
Description: partial 16S ribosomal RNA
Rfam family: Bacterial small subunit ribosomal RNA
Source: RNAcentral
UACGUAGGGUGCAAGCGUUGUCCGGAAUCAUUGGGCGUAAAGCGCGUGUAGGCGGCCUUGUAAGUCCGUUCUGAAAGCCUGGGGCUCAACCCCAGGAGGCGGAUGGAUACUGCAAGGCUCGAGUACGGAAGAGGCGAGUGGAAUUCCCGGUGUAGCGGUGAAAUGCGCAGAUAUCGGGAGGAACACCAAUGGCGAAGGCAGCUCGCUGGGACGUUACUGACGCUGAGACGCGAAAGCGUGGGGAGCAAACAGG